CGCCUUCAAAACCCCUUUCUCUGCAAUCGCGAUUCUCUCCUUCCUGCGCUCUCCUACUGCCUCCAAAGGUAUGGUUUUUCCCUCUUUGAUGAUUCUCUUUACUGUAUGAACCGCCUGGGACUGUCUAUAUUACCGCAUUUCUCUGGAUGUCGCUUGUAUGCUUCAUUAUUCCUCUUGUUUCCCUUCGUUCUUUUGCGGGUAGGGCGCUCCUAGGGUUCUUCCAUUUUCCCCUUUUCUUCUCUCCAAAC
Molecule: long non-coding RNA, 248 nt
Filed under: Phaseolus vulgaris (common bean)
Lineage: Eukaryota; Viridiplantae; Streptophyta; Magnoliopsida; Fabales; Fabaceae
Description: long non-coding RNA (PVUL_LNC005075)
Source: RNAcentral